RNAcentral lists this ribosomal RNA (1737 nucleotides) under Triticum aestivum (bread wheat). RNAcentral describes it as "partial small subunit ribosomal RNA". The record is from RNAcentral. Lineage: Eukaryota; Viridiplantae; Streptophyta; Magnoliopsida; Poales; Poaceae.
AUGGAGGAGAACGCCGGUAGAUCCACCACAACAAUUGGCAUUCUAAGAAGGGGUUCUGGUGUCUCCUUGAGAAAUCAAAGCAAUGAGGAGAGACCAAAUCAGUUCCAGAAUAAGGCAGGGAACACCACAAAGCUCAACCCCACAAAAGCAACAUGGGCUGGCAACAAGGAAAAGCCGGGGUAUUUGCGUGACUCCUUUAAUUCAUCAGGAUCCAAGUCUGUAUCUGCAAGCUCUUCAAAAGCUCCUGUCAGAAAGAAUUGCGACGAAAAGCUAAGGCGCCCAUUGUCGGCACAGUUUAACAAUGCUGAAAGUAGUAACAGAAGAACUGUUGUCAACCGUCUGCAGAGUAGCAAGAAAGCUAUUGCUGGUGAGGAGGAUGGGCAUCCAUGUGCUCAGCAGAUUGAGUCUGAAGAUUCAUCAUCCACAUCAACCACUGGGGAUCAGCCAACAGGGCUAGAUCCUGAAGUCUUAGAUUCAUCUGUUUCUUCAGGGAGUUCUUCACAUGUAGUUGAUUCCGUGGCGAGAAAUACUGCAUUGAGGACUAAACCACGUAGGCAGAAGGAUAAAGAGGAAAUAGGUUUGGGUAAAACUCAAACUGCAUCUACUUCUGUCCAUCAGCCUGACGGACCUCGCAAUUUGGUCAUUGGUGUGAAAUCAUCAAAUGGUGCUGGUCCUGGUGUACAAAGGCGUGGUAUAAAAAACCUUGGUUGCACAUCAAUCUCUGAUGUUUUGCCGUCAGGCUGUUCUUCAUCUAAUUCUGUCCAUAGUAAGAGGACUGAGAUUACGAGAAAGAGGAUUUCUGAUGGGGAGACUUCUUCGAGACCAAGGGCUUUAAGUGGGCAGCCUUCUUUGUAUCCUGGCAGUACUGGUCCUAGAGUCAGAGACUCUGAACAAUCAGCUUCUCAACAAACAACAAGGACUAGCAACAGAAUUAUUCGGGAUUCUGCAGAUUCAGUAAGGACUAGGCGUCCUUCUACUCAGCAGGCUAGGAUGAGGAUGCCAGAUGAAACAGAGCAGGGCGUGUUUGCUCUGCGCGAGACUGUUUCGGGGGCUCGUCAACCAGAUUGGGCCCGAUUUUCGAUGAACGAAGUUCCUCCACAGAGGUCAACAAGGCCUUUUCCUAUGGAGUUGCCUCAUGCAAUUUACUCUUCUAGUCGUCAAGGCUCUAGUAACCGUACAUCAAGGAGCAGAGGGAGUUCUCAUCCCGAGGAUAGCUCCCCACAAAUGUUUAGAGAUGUCUACAGGCGCAUGAACAUGGACGGAAUUGCAGAGGUGUUGCUAGCAUUGGAAAGGAUCGAACAACAUGAUGAAUUGUCUUAUGAGCAAUUGCUGGUGCUGGAAACCAAUCUAUUCCUCAGUGGCCUUGGCUUGAAUGAUCAGCAUAGAGAUAUGAGAAUGGAUAUUGACGACAUGUCUUAUGAGGAAUUAUUACAACUAGAGGAUAGAAUUGGCUCCGUGAGCACUGCCCUUUCUGAAGAGCAAUUGGAGAAGUGUCUCAGUCGAGUCGUGUAUAAGCUAGCGAAUCCAGCGCUAGAAGUGAACAAACCUGUAGUAGAUGAUGUCAAAUGCAGCAUAUGCCAGGAGGAGUACAUUGAGGACGAAGAGGUUGGCAGAAUGAAGUGCGAGCAUCAGUACCAUGUGUGCUGCAUUCAGGAGUGGCUUCGACAGAAGAACUGGUGUCCGAUAUGCAAAGCUUCAGCAGUACCUACGUCGGACGCGGACAAGGGGGAUACAUGA